Molecule: ribosomal RNA, 253 nt
Filed under: uncultured bacterium
Lineage: Bacteria
Description: partial 16S ribosomal RNA
Rfam family: Bacterial small subunit ribosomal RNA
Source: RNAcentral
GACGGAGGGUGCAAGCGUUAUUCGGAAUUAUUGGGCGUAAAGGGUACGUAGGCGGCUGGUCAAGUCGGGUGUGAAAGCCCUCAGCUCAACCGUGGGACGGCCCUGGAAACUAACGGGCUAGAGUGAGGUAGAGGUGUCGGGAAUUCACGGUGUAGCGGUGAAAUGCGUAGAUAUCGUGAAGAACACCGGUGGCGAAAGCGGCCCACUGGGUCUCGUCUGACGCUGAUGCACGAAAGCUAGGGGAGCGAACGGG